Long non-coding RNA from Gallus gallus (chicken), 8054 nucleotides. RefSeq lists it as uncharacterized. The transcript is spliced from 2 exons. Lineage: Eukaryota; Metazoa; Chordata; Aves; Galliformes; Phasianidae. The record is from RefSeq and is a predicted model, not a curated record.
CCGCUUGUUCCGUGCACAGCGGACGCAGCCGCUAGGUCAGCCCAGUUCUUCUUCUGCUUCGUUAUGGUACGGGAGGGCCGGGUGCGUUGGGAGGAAAUUCUACGGAACUUCACAGCUCGUCACCCCGAGCCAACUCAUGGCGGGGCCGGGUAGAGCUGCGUGCUCCCGCAGUCCCCAUUGGGGAGACCCUUUCCCGUCACUGCGGUGUCGCGAGGACGAGUGCGGACAGGGCGGGUGGGAGGAGGAGGACUGCCUGUUGCAGGCGCACGUGGGAAAUGUCCACCUGCAGCGCUGAGCUCUGCUUCCGCUGGCCGCAAACCUAAUGUAAUCCUCCUUCAGAUGGUUCUGUUGCACUCAAUUUUACAGCUUCCAAGAAACAGAAUUUCCACUUAAAAGUCAGACUUGUUGUUUGAACUAGAAGUUACAUAUGACACUACAGGACCAAAGCCUGCUUCAUUUGCUCAUGAGACUGGAAUUUUCGCUUCCAUUUUGUGAAGACAUCACUAAUUACUUGCACAAAUAAAAAGCGUAUUCAGCAUGUGAGAUAUCUCAAUAGCAAAUUAAUAAAGUGAAGCUGCAAAACAAAUUAUAUUUUACCCAGGAGGACCCUAGUUUCACAUAAUUUGAAACAUACUCAGUAGGUAAAUCUUUUCACUCUCAUCCACCUGAUGAAAUAGCUCUGGUGCUUUUAAAAUAUUUUGCCAUAUGACAGUGGACAAAAGAGUUUGCAUCAUCUGUCAAACUGGUUGCCCAAGACAUUCUACUAUACUGUUGCAGUAGCUGAAGCAAGAAAGUUCAAAGCUUUCUUUCUUAUUGGAAAAGUACUGGCUAGUUUGUACAGAAAACCAGUGAUGGCUCAGUGAUUCUUUCUCACCAUUUUCUGCCUAGAAAGUUGAAAAUAAUAAUAAUGAAUUAAUAUUAGUGGAGAAAUCUGACAGAGGAUUAAGAAUUGCAAUGCAGUAUCCCUAACAACCUGGAAUAGUUAAUUAAGUUCUCUUAUAAAUGAGUUCCAAAAAUAACUUACUUUCAGUAAGUUAUUCUGGGAAACAGCCACUUUAGCAUACCUGAGCUGCAGUGCCUAUUAGAAAAGGGCCAAUUACCCAGUGACUGGCAGUUAAAGGUGAACUGCUAUAGUUCUUAAUUAAAAGGCUUCAUAUUAUAAUCACCAGUAAGUAAUGGAAUACUGCAUAUAUAAGGUAGACAUAGCAUUAGAAGAAUAUUUCCAUUUUAAAACAAGGAUUUUGAAAAACUUCUUCCUUUGCUUGCCAAGCCAAGCUGCUGUGAGAGCUCUGGGGUUGCCAUCUGUGCUACCUACCAUCCUUUGCUGAGGUGCCCCCCCUGUGACCCACCUGCAGCCAGAAGGGUUUCCCUCCCAUAUCAGGUGACAGCAUUGUCUCUGCUGUUAAAGCCCAAAAUUGUUACUACAGAAAUAUUAUUUUAGGUUUUAAAAGUGAAUACAUCAGCCUUUCUAGACAAGGAACUGUCUGUGAAGCUCAUUUAGGUUCCUGCCUGUUACAAUUGGAAAGAUUAGCAUGGUGGAAGGGCAAUACAAAAAUGAGACAACAAAGGGACCAGCACGGAUAGGAUGGUAUUUCACAGGAAAGUAAAUGCACUCACCCAGCUCCAAAGAUCUAGGCUUUAGAAGAUCUAGGAAGAUCUAGGAAGGAAUCUCCUACCAGAAAUCCUUCCAGAGUGGCAGUCAGCCCUUAAAUGGGGUCUAAGAGGUGGAGCCAGGCUCUUCCAGUCACACAGGUGAAUUGCCUUCACCUGUGCUCCCAGGGCUGACCGGUCCUUCCCCCAAGCAAUCAAUCAGUGUUUCAGGCCGCGACUCAUCAGUUCUAGUACACCGGCACUGACAACUUUCCUGAAUUUCCACUUACUUCCCAGUUAAAAGGACAUUAUCAACUCUUCUGUGAGAGACACUGAAGUUAUUUGGGGGGUAAAAAACUUCUAGAUUGGAAGCACGUGCUGUACUGACAUACUAUUAAAUGUGUAUCUCCCCAUCUGGGGACUGAGGGUCAUUCUGUCUUCAUUUCAAGUUCAGCAGAUAUAAACAGCUUUGCUGAAUUGCUGCAUUCUGUAUAACCAUGCUACUAAGGUAUUAUGCCUGAGAUUAUGCACCCUACUGAGAUUAGUUUGAACACCAUAUCACACUGUUCACCUUUUUAGACAGUGACUCCAGGUUUGUCUCCAGCCAUUCACUCAGAUCUGGUCAUCACUCUCUGCACUGCACACAAAGGCUGACUUUUAUCAGACCUGCAGACUUGCUGUUAAGUGCUUUAUCUAUAUGAACGCUAUUAAAAAUAUAUACAACUAAUCCUAUAGUUCCUAGUUUUGAUAAGGAUUGUCAUUUUCCAGGAUAAUUUGACCUAUUUUGCUCAACUAUGUAGUCCAGCAACUUUCCUUCAUCCUCUAGCAUUCAAAGAGACUGGCAGACCUGUAUUUAUUACCCACUGUAACAGGAAGGGAAUUUAGGCUAAGACAGUAUUAUUCACCUUCUUGACUAAUAAGUAAAGGUACAUAUAUGAUGACACUUCUUCCAAGCUUUUGAUAAACUCCUUCCUUUUCAUUAAUCAAUCUACGGAUCUACAGCGAGUUAAAAAAUAAUAAUAAAAACCUUUUGAUGUCAUGCCUCCAUGAAAAUGACCAUUCUGUUUCCAUUUCCAGAAGAAACUAGCACAAGUUAAAAUUUGUAUUCAUCUGAAGCUGAGUAGUUUUUCCCCUUGAGUAGAUCUGUUUUCAGUGUUCAAAAUUUUUAUUUUAUUAGUUAAACUACUAUAAGUAAUUACCACCAAGGGAAACUGUCAAGUGAGACUGGCAAAAUCCUCCAUUUGCCUAUUUUUUUCUGUUCUUCUUAAUCCAUGGGAUUUUGCUGUCUUUUCUCCAAAGGAAGUCCUUUAGUACUCUCAAUGGGGAAAAAAAUAUCUGAUUACUUCUGCCUUUACGAAGAGCCAGUAGUACCUAAGAAGGUUCUAUUCUGAUUUAUUUUAAUUUUGAUUGUGGUGGAAAAAUUAAGCACGGACAUUGUAUUUACAGGUUAAAUAAUCCUGUAUAUUCAUUUUUCAUUUUCCCUCUUAUGAAGAAAAGAAGAAGAAAAUGCUUAUUUUAGAAAUAAACAUUUCAGUUUUAAAAUUUGCAUAACAUUUUUAUAUACAAAACAAAUGUGAGGGCUUUUCCAAUGUUACGCUGUUACAAAUAUGGAUCAGAGGUGAAUUUAUAUUGUGAAGAAUUACAUGUACAAUUUUCAAAACAAAGUUUCUAAUAUAUAAGAUGAUGUAUUUCCUGUGAAGUUUCAUUAGUUGCCAAUGAAGACUCUGAAAAUAGAAAUUUUGAAGCAUUUCUAUGUACUAAAAUCUAUUAUCUCUCAUUAACUGUUCUAGAGGAUGAGAAGAUUGUUUAGACUCAGCAAUCCUUAUAACAUGUCCAUCAUCCAACAACUUUGACUCUAUAGCUACAGGCGUUAACUUAUUGAGAAUUAGUCGUGUAUUUGAUGGUUACAAAAUACCUUGGAAAAAUGUGGUCAGAGUAAUAAUCCUUGAGAACAGGGAGAAAUGAGCUGUCAAGUUAAUGAAAUUAAGCUGCAGUAUCUUCUCCAUCAUCACAGUUUAAAUCACUGGGAUGUUGGAGGCAGAAGUGACUGGUCUAUUUUUAAAGAGAUGCAAAACUUUAAAGAAACAGCUUUAAAGAAAGAAUCUGGGAAUUGAACUUGUUUCAUGAAAUCUAAAACUGAAUGGCAGCAUCUUAUUGUAGUGAUAGAUAAUUUGGGAUAAUUACUCACUUAUUAAAUGGUGCUGCAGUUCAUCACUGGUUAGGAAUAUUUGAGUAGGCUAAAACUGCUGAAGUUUCAGGGGAAUAAGCAAACAGCAGCUUUUUUGGCUCAUUUGUUUUACUGCAAAAAUUUUCCCAUGUCAUAAAAUAUUUAUAACAUAGCUUUAAGUAAUAAAAAGGACUGUUUUCUUUGUACUCCACUGUUCCUAUUGUGUUCAAUUGUGCCAGAACAAAUAAUGUUAACUUUAAAAAUCAAAACAAUUUUUAACUGUGUUGCGUUCAAACUGUUUUAAUCUUACAGUAAGCUUUUCCAUGGGACAAUUGGUCUAAUAAGUAUGGAGUAUUAGUAUGUCCUAAUUAGGAAAAUAGCAAGCUUAACUGUGAAAGAUAAAGCAUUUUAUCACUGCAAGGAAAGCAACAAAUCAGUUGUAACUUCCAGCAUCCAACAGAACUUUAUUACAUUGUAGCAUAAACGACUGACAUAAUAUGCCUCUGAUUUUCAGACCUCAAGGAAGGGUGGAUUUGACAGUGCCCUUUCAAAUAACAUUGAAGCGUCAGCUCCCAUGCCAACAUCAUGCUCUAAUCAGUACAGUCUUUUUUGUUGCAGGGUCUUCCACCUUAUAAUUGACCCUGACAUAUGCUAUUCACUCUACCCCUUGGCUUUGGACAUAUAAUUCCUGUCAUGGUCAAUUAUAAGGUGAUAGAGCCUGCAACCACUGGGACCGUUGCUUAAAAUCAUCCUACACAGUAAGCCCUGAAGUGACCGAAUUCAAAUCUAACUGGAGGGAAAGAGGGGAUUCAGUCUUUGAUAAAACCAAUAUUCUUUUCACUUCUGUACAGAAAAAUGUCGAUUUCCAUCAUACUAUAUAUUACUGAGACAAAUGGUGACAGUGCUAUUUCUGAAACAGGUUAAGGAAAAGUACAAAAGCCUUUCCCAAACAACAUACUCUGAAAUGAGGAAAUUGUCUGUGUGAGCAUACAGUAUGCAUAAAAAUUAGAUUACACUCCAUUUGAAAAGCAGAUGAGAAUUUAAGAGUGACAAGUGGGCAAAUGCUAAAUAUAAGGGCAUGUUACUUCCUUUCCAGCACUGCUUUGUCUGUAUGCUUUCUUUUAUGUUGUGUUUAAAAUACUUUGCACCAGCCUGAAAGACAGUUCUGAUUACCUUAUUGAUAAGAAUUGGUUUUGAACAAAAAAGAGCUCUUCUCAUUGUCCCAUUGGUUCUGUAAUGCCUAAAAAAUUUGGCAAAAAACAAAAACCAGGACACUUUGUCUCUGAUCUUUGAGUAAACAGUAUGACUUUCACAAACAUACAGUUUUACAGUGUGCUGUACUCGUACAGAAUCUUUCCAACUUCAGGAGUAAGAGCUGAGAUGAGCAGAAGUUUUAAUAUCCAUCUGCCAAGAUUUGCUGGAAAAGCUAGAUUGUCAACUGUGGGGUCAUUUCACACAUUUUCUGGCUUUAGUCACCUAUGUAGUUAAGCCAGAGGGACAGCUAUCCCUGUUUCUUCUUGUGUGGACAUUAAUUUCAGUUUGCAAGCUGCCAUUGUCUAUUUUCUGUUUCUUUGUUGUUUUGUUUGUUUGUUUGAUGAAAAAUGAAGGGAAUUUCAAUUAUCUAUAGUGUUUUCAGUCACAAAUUAUAACCUACAGGGAUCUUUCCCUGAUUUGUUUCACUACUGACCAUUUAUUUAACUUCUGUACCUAAACCACUCAAUUCAAAAAUAAUCCUUAAAAGACCUUUGUGAAUCUGCUAAUUUUUACAGGUAAUACAGUAUAUAUCAUAUUUUGAAAACUGUGCUUUGAUGAUAUCUUUAUUUCCUAUCUUAGCCCGACUAGACAAAGCUCUAAUUAACAUUCAUAUAAUUAUCUAAGUCUUUUAAAAUCCCAUCUGUACAGUUUCUCUUAAUGAUGUAUACAGAGCAUAGCAGUCCCAAUAAAUACUAAGCACAUACAGUGCAAGUGCUUUUAAUUUAAACCAUACUGCUGAUUAGUGAUGGGGUAUUCUGAAACUGUUAUACACAUUCUGUAUUUCAAUUGUCAUGGGAACUGAACAGCUCUUCCUGCUGAAGUGCACAGUCCUACAUAUAGCUGGGAGCUGCUAUUCUAGCAUCUGCUGUGGCUGUGUCUACUAUCCAGACAAGUCAACUUUGGAAACUACUGAUUUAGCUAAUUUUGAAAACAGGUGGAUGACUUUACUGGAAUGUGUAACUCAGCUCAAAUGUUUGCAAGACAGAAAUUUACAGUUCUGAAUCUAAUACUGUCUAUUACUGUAUGUAAAUACCAAAUUUCCUCAACUUCAUAAUAAGAAAAGGGGUACUCCUGUGUUUAUCUACCCUGCAUAUAUGAUGUGACAUCCUAAACGUUAUUUCAUAUAAGAGAUAAUUCAGCUUUCAACAGGCUGCAGUCUGUGAAGUGAGGAGGAUGACUCCUGGCUGUUUUAUGGUUUAGAGCAUGACUGAAUACCCUAUCAGGGCUCCAUGAAUUACUCAUUUCAAUACAUAUAUUUUUAAAAAUAUUUAUACUCUAUAUCGGUCUCAUCCUUUAAAUAUCUAAGAGGAGUACCCCUACUGCACUUAAGAAGCAGAGGCAGUAAAACCACAAAAUACUGGGACACCACCAGUGAUAUGAAUGUUAGAAUUUGAUUCUCUGGUAAAUAACUUGUAUGAUUAUUUGUGCAAUUUCAGCUGCUCUUUAUGUCAGCUUCUCUAUCUGUAAAGUAGGCAUAGUUAUAGUUUGCAGAGUAUUUUGAGAUUAAUAGUUACAAAAUAUCAGUGUAAUAAUUAUAGACAAAACAAUCUAUUCUGAAAUCUUUUAACUCAAUUCUAAAUAUCAAUCCAUAAUAUUUACACUGUGGCAGUUAUGGUAAAUGUCUGAUGGAUAACUUUUGUAAGAGUAGCUUGUUUUUAAUGUUUGUUUGCAGGUUCUUCUGGGUAAGUAUACAGGGGCAUCACAAACAAUAUUUAAAUCUCACCACGGCAAAUGAUUUCUCUAUGCUCUACCAGUAACGUAUCUGCAGAACUGCCAGAUGGGGAGAGAAAUUGCAAUGAGAAAAUAAUGAUCAGGUUGUGGUUCAGUAAGAAAAAGGAUCAGACAUUAGAAACAUGAUUUUGAAAAUCAUAUUUUUACUAACUUUAAAUAUUUAAUCAAGUUCUUAAAUAAAAUCUUUGCAUUGAUCUGUCCUCAUGAAUGACAAAAGAGAAAGCCGAAAAUAUCAUAGAGCUAAAGCUGACAGAAAUCUUAACCAAAUACAAUUAAUGUGGAAUAUAAAAAUGGUAAAUAUUUGGAUGAUAGAUGCUGCGGCAAUAUGGGAGUCAAAACAUUGCAGUAAGUUUUGCCUUAAAGAUUUCUAGAAGAUUCUGUACAAUCUCACCUUCUUCAGUUAUGGAAAAGAGUGGUAAAAAAAAAAAGAGCUCUGAAAAAUUUGAUUCUCCCAGGCUCCUCUGUGUACAACAGCUUUAAAAACAAACAUUUAAAGACAGCAAACUAGCAAAACCUGACUGCAUUUUUUAACCCAUUUUCAGGCAGCAUUAGAUCAACAACAGAAAUAAUUGCUGUCAGUUUGUACUUUUUGACCAAUAAUUCUCUGUAUAUCCUGCAAGAAACUUGAGUGAUGCAAAUGACCUUAUUUUUACAGCAUGCUUUUAUUAAAUAGUUUAUUAUUUUGGCAGACUAAUAAAGAUUUUGGUAUUUGCUUUUAUUUGCAAUAAUAUUACCACCACAUAAAAAAGGAUUUUAUGUUCUUUUUGAGGAACAAGGAGGAUAAAAGUGUUGAUGGAUAGUGCAACUAAGGCAUCAGCAAUGAGCUGGAAAUGAGACACAUAAAUAUGAAAGCAGAGCUAAGAAAAUAGAACUGCACCCUUGGCCUUUCUUAAAAGAACACGCGCAUGCCAUGGUUCAUUCAUACAGUUACAGAAACUCCUUUUGUUUUCAGUGAGUUUGUGAAAAUAUGUAAAGACUAAAAUAUUAUUAAGAUUCUCACUUGUUUGACAUAUUUCUGUAGUUAGUGUCACCAUGAAAUAUUUCUAAAAGUUUAAAGAAAUGACUGCUGAGAAUGAUGAUUUUUUAAAAGAUGUUUAUUUUAUCUAAAGUGUAUAUUUUGUCCCUCAUUUGAGCUAUAUAACAAUUUAAUUUCUCAUUUUUCCCUUUUCUAGCCCCAGAUAGACCUAACAUUCUUCAAAUGUUAUAGAGUGGAUACAUAAAAACUAAGAUUAGACAAUCAUACACAAAAUUUCAAAACAACAUUGUCACUCCUCUAAUUAAAAAAAAAAAAGAAAAGAAAAGAAAAAAAAGA